Molecule: long non-coding RNA, 521 nt
Organism: Solanum tuberosum (potato)
Lineage: Eukaryota; Viridiplantae; Streptophyta; Magnoliopsida; Solanales; Solanaceae
Exons: 4
Source: RefSeq, a predicted model, not a curated record
AUAAGGGGGUUCAAAAUCUGAAAAGUAAACACACGAACUAGUGGAAGAGGGUUCGACAUCUAUUAUACACCAACCAUUUUCUCUACUUAUGAGACGAAACGAUCAACAUGUUGUGAUGCAAAAUUAUCGGAUGUUUGCAUUAGUACAUCAGCACCUCUAACUUAUCUUAGUGCUCAUUAUUUCAAAGUUGAAGAUGGCAAAGGCAAUGUUAGAGAACAUCAUCUCAUUGAUGGUGACAUUGCUGCUAAUAAUCCGGGUAAAUUUGGAAACAGGUUUGACAGAACCAAUUCCUAAAGGAGGCACUAAUGAGGAAGCCCUUAAGAGGUUUGCAAUAUUAUUGGUAAAUGAAAGAAGAUUUCACGAAUCAAGAUCACCACUUAUCAAGAAAGCUUCGAAGUAAUGCGAUCAUAAAAAAAAUCUUAAGAAUUAAGUUGUUUAAGUAAUAUAUAUUGUCACUAUAAAUUUCCUAGCUAGCUAUGUUCCCAAUGAAAUUUCCAAUUUUGGAGGGAAUAUUAGGCAUA